Molecule: ribosomal RNA, 1321 nt
Filed under: uncultured bacterium
Lineage: Bacteria
Description: bacterial SSU rRNA
Rfam family: Bacterial small subunit ribosomal RNA
Source: RNAcentral
AAUGAACGCUGGCGGCAUGGAUUAGGCAUGUUUUUCGAACGAUAUCGGGGCUUCGGCCCCGUGAAAGUGGCGUAAGGGUGAGUAACACGUGAGUAAUCUGCCCCCCGAUCCGGAACAAGCACUGGAAACGGUGUCUGAAACCGGAUGAAGACCGGCCCCGCAUGGGACCGCAUCGAAAUAUUCAUAGUCGGAGGAUGAGCUCGCGGCCCAUUAGCUUGUUGGCGGGGUAACGGCCCACCAAGGCUGCGACGGGUAGGUGGUCUGAGAGGAUGGUCACCCACACUGGGACUGAGACACUGCCCAGACUCCUACGGGAGGCUGCAGUCGAGAAUCUUCCGCAAUGGGCGAAAGCCUGACGGAGCGAUGCCGCGUGAGGGACGAAGGUCCUUGGAUCGUAAACCUCUGUCAUCAGGGACGACAAUGACGGUACCUGAGAAGGAAGCCACGGCUAACCACGUGCCAGCAGCCGCGGUAAUACGUGGGUGGCGAGCGUUAUUCGGAUUCACUGGGCGUAAAGGGUCCGCAGGGGGCCCGGCACGCCCGCCGUGAAAGCCCAUGGCUCAACCAUGGGACUGCGGCGGGUACGGCCGGGCUGGAGUGUAUGAUGGGCAGAUGGAAUUCCAGGGGUAGCGGUGGAAUGCGUGGAUAUCUGGAAGAACACCGAUGGCGAAGGCGAUCUGCUGGCAUAUCACUGACCCUCAGGGACGAGAGUGUGGGUAGCGAACAGGAUUAGAUACCCUGGUAGUCCACACCGUAAACGUUGUGUGCCAGAUGUGCCCCGGCCGGCCCGGGGCGUGUCCAAGCCAACGCGGUAAGCACACCGCCUGGGGACUACGGCCGCAAGGCUAAAACUCAAAGGAAUUGACGGGGGCCCGCACAAGCGGUGGAGCAUGUUGCUUAAUUCGAGGCAACGCGAAGAACCUUACCCAGGUUUGACAUGCAGCGGACCGGGUGUGAAAGCACCCUUUCCUUCGGGACCGCUGAACAGAUGCUGCAUGGCUGUCGUCAGCUCGUGCCGUGAGGUGUUCGGUUAAGUCCGGCAACGAGCGCAACCCAUGCCGCCAGUUACCAUCGAGCAAUGUCGGGGACUCUGGCGGGACUGCCCGUGUCAAGCGGGAGGAAGGCGUGGAUGACGUCAAGUCCGUAUGGCUCUUACGCCUGGGGCCGCAAACGUGCUACAAUGGCGGGUACAAUGGGCUGCUGUGCCGCGAGGCACGGCCAAUCUCGAAAACCCGCCCCAGUUCGGAUUGCAGCCUGCAACUCGGCUGCAUGAAGCCGGAAUCGAUAGUAAAGGGGUAUCAGCUACGAUCCCUUGAAUACG